GCCACCGUUAUUUUGUUUUUGUUUUUGCGAAGACAUGUUCGUAUAUAUUGUCUAAUAUUUUUGAAACGAGAAAACGCGGUGUUAUUCCUGUUGUGAUUUGAACCCGGAACGACACAACUGAAUCUUAUUAAAUCUUCGGAUCUUCGGGGUACAUCUCUUUAAUAUCUUUGUCAUAUCAUGGCCCUUCUUAGCCCCAAUAUAUUAUUAGGAGUGUUGAGAAUUUGACAAGGUAAAAACCACGUUUGCUUAACAACCCUCAGGCAUGUUGGACAUUUCCGUGGAGUUUAUAAUAUGACGGCAAUUAACAUCGUAAUUAGCGAAUAUUAAUGUGACUAAAGAAAAAUGAACGAAAGAAACAACGAAGGAAACAAAGAACUAUUUCACGGACCAGUGGUCAUACGCUGUAUCUCCUGUAUUAACUGAAUCGAGAAAAUUUUGAUGGAUUUGAAUUCGUUGAAACCGGGAUUGAACAUUCAAUUCAUGAAUUUUUCUUCUCCACAAAAAUAAACAUUUUCGCACCUUUAAAGAAUUUGUGGUUUUACUUUGCUGUAGAUCGAACCAAUUUUUAAAAGUCAGGUAUAUUUGCUUUAUUUGCGCGUUUAUUUGGAAUAUCACAAGACAGACCAAUUUUGUGUACUAACAACGUUUGCGAUAGAGUGUUCUUAUACAUCGCGUUGCUUCUAACGUUCGGCAUCCUCAUCACGAGAUAUGUGUUGCUAAUCUGGGACAUCUAUUCAGAAUGCUCUAAUGAAUCACGAAACGAUAUGAAUAGAAGACCUGCUUAGGGUUCGGUGGCUCCGUAAAAGACCAUGUAAUGUUGUGUUGUGGCGGUGAUCAUUAAUAAUAUCCUUACAAAAGACGUCUCAAGACCUGCAUCAGGAGUAAGUUCUCGGGAUUUAUGUAGUUUCUUCAGAUAUGUCAGACUUUUAUAUACACGUCACAUUGUUGUGGGCAUUUGUCUUCACACUGACUCCACUUGUUGUGGUGUUAUAUGACCUCUACAUAAUAGCCCCAGUCAUUACACAGCGGGGAGAAAAUGAUAAAACAGGCCCCGGAAAAGAAAAAACCCCUAAAAAUGCAGGCUGUAUAAAAGGAUGUUUAGAAACGGAGUCAUCUUCAAGAACAAUUCCCUCACCGAAAAACAGCGUGACCAUUAACAAUAUACUCAACAACAGCUACAUCAAUAGUAACAAGACGAACAUCUACAUCGGACGAAGCUGUGAAAACUCUCAUUAUUUUGGUUAGAUCUGGGAGAAGUUAGUUUAUAUAUACUGUAAACGGCAAAAUUCGCCAGUUAUCUAACCAUUUUUUUUUUCAAUGAAAAAAUAAAACUGAAUUUUUUCGCACGUU
Molecule: long non-coding RNA, 1350 nt
Organism: Octopus bimaculoides (California two-spot octopus)
Lineage: Eukaryota; Metazoa; Mollusca; Cephalopoda; Octopoda; Octopodidae
Source: RefSeq, a predicted model, not a curated record